Molecule: ribosomal RNA, 243 nt
Filed under: uncultured bacterium
Lineage: Bacteria
Description: partial 16S ribosomal RNA
Rfam family: Bacterial small subunit ribosomal RNA
Source: RNAcentral
GUAGGGGGCAAGCGUUAUCCGGAUUUACUGGGUGUAAAGGGCGCGUAGACGGUUAGAUAAGUCUGAAGUGAAAGCCCGGGGCCCAACCCCGGGACUGCUUUGGAAACUGUAGAACUGGAGUACAGGAGGGGCAGGCGGAAUUCCUAGUGUAGCGGUGAAAUGCGUAGAUAUCAGGAGGAACACCGGCGGCGAAGGCGGCCUGCUGGACUGGGACUGACGUUGAGGCUCGAAAGCGUGGGGAGC